CCUACGUGAGUCAGCAGUGAGGAAUAUUGGUCAAUGGCCGGAAGGCUGAACCAGCCAAGUCGCGUGAGGGAAUAAGGCCCUAUGGGUCGUAAACCCCUUCUGUCAGGGAGCAAAGGCGUCCACGUGUGGACGAGAGGAGAGUACCUGAAGACAAAGCAUCGGCUAACUCCGUGCCUGCAGCCGCGGUAAUACGGAGGAUGCGAGCGUUCUCUGGAUUUAUUGGGUUUACAGGGUGCGUCGGCGGUGUGUCAAGUCAGCGGUAAAAUUUCGGGGCUCAACCCCGUCGUGCCGUUGAAACUGACGCCCUUGAGUGAGUGAGAGGUAAGCGGAAUGCGUGGUGUAGCGGUGAAAUGCAUAGAUAUAACGCAGAACGCCGAUUGCGAAGGCAGCUUACCGGCGCUCAACUGACGCUGAGGCACGAAAGUGCGGGUAUCGAACAGGAUUAGAUACCCGAGUAGUC
This 460-nucleotide ribosomal RNA is filed under the name uncultured bacterium. RNAcentral's name for it is "partial 16S ribosomal RNA". It matches the Rfam family "Bacterial small subunit ribosomal RNA", at positions 338 to 795 of the family's 1533-position model. The record is from RNAcentral.